UACGAAGGGGGCUAGCGUUGCUCGGAAUUACUGGGCGUAAAGGGCGCGUAGGCGGUCACGACAAGUCAGUUGUGAAAUCUCCGGGCUUAACUCGGAACGGUCAACUGAUACUGUCGGACUAGAGUGCAGAAGGGGCAACUGGAAUUCUCGGUGUAGCGGUGAAAUGCGUAGAUAUCGAGAGGAACACCUGCGGCGAAGGCGGGUUGCUGGGCUGACACUGACGCUGAGGCGCGAAAGCUAGGGGAGCGAACGGG
Molecule: ribosomal RNA, 254 nt
Filed under: uncultured bacterium
Lineage: Bacteria
Description: partial 16S ribosomal RNA
Rfam family: Bacterial small subunit ribosomal RNA
Source: RNAcentral